AGGCCCCUCCUCCCAGCCGGGCUCCCGCUCACCCCUGCCACGUCAAAGGAGGCAGAAGGGGAGUCGCAGCACAGAGGGACCG
This 82-nucleotide microRNA precursor is filed under the name Fukomys damarensis (Damara mole-rat). RNAcentral's name for it is "mir-3154 microRNA precursor family". It matches the Rfam family "mir-3154 microRNA precursor family". Lineage: Eukaryota; Metazoa; Chordata; Mammalia; Rodentia; Bathyergidae. The record is from Rfam by way of RNAcentral.